GCGGCGCACGGGUGAGUAACACGUGGGUAAUCUGCCCUAGAGUCCGGAAUAACUCGCCGAAAGGCGCGCUAAUGCCGGAUGAGACCACGGGAGCCUCGGCUCCUGCGGGAAAAGGUGGCCUCUGUACACAAGCUAUCGCUCUAGGAUGAGCCCGCGGCCCAUCAGCUCGUUGGCGGGGUAAUGGCCCACCAAGGCUACGACGGGUAGCUGGUCUGAGAGGACGAUCAGCCACACUGGAACUGAGACACGGUCCAGACUCCUACGGGAGGCAGCAGUGGGGAAUCUUGCGCAAUGGGCGAAAGCCUGACGCAGCAACGCCGCGUGUGUGAUGAAGGUCUUCGGAUCGUAAAGCACUGUCGCGAGGGACGAAUAAGGGGCGGGUUAACAUCCCGUUCCGAUGACGGUACCUCGAGAGGAAGCACCGGCUAACUCUGUGCCAGCAGCCGCGGUAAUACAGAGGGUGCGAGCGUUGUUCGGAAUUAUUGGGCGUAAAGCGCGUG
RNAcentral lists this ribosomal RNA (500 nucleotides) under uncultured bacterium. Its description in RNAcentral is "bacterial SSU rRNA". It matches the Rfam family "Bacterial small subunit ribosomal RNA", at positions 95 to 571 of the family's 1533-position model. The record is from RNAcentral.